Molecule: ribosomal RNA, 751 nt
Filed under: uncultured bacterium
Lineage: Bacteria
Description: bacterial SSU rRNA
Rfam family: Bacterial small subunit ribosomal RNA
Source: RNAcentral
ACGCUGGCGGCAGGCCUAACACAUGCAAGUCGAGCGGUAGCACGGGAGAGCUUGCUCUCUGGGUGACGAGCGGCGGACGGGUGAGUAAUGUCUGGGAAACUGCCUGAUGGAGGGGGAUAACUACUGGAAACGGUAGCUAAUACCGCAUGACCUCGCAAGAGCAAAGUGGGGGACCUUCGGGCCUCACGCCAUCGGAUUUGCCCAGAUGGGAUUAGCUAGUAGGUGGGGUAAUGGCUCACCUAGGCGACGAUCCCUAGCUGGUCUGAGAGGAUGACCAGCCACACUGGAACUGAGACACGGUCCAGGCUCCUACGGGAGGCAGCAGUGGGGAAUAUUGCACAAUGGGCGCAAGCCUGAUGCAGCCAUGCCGCGUGUGUGAAGAAGGCCUUAGGGUUGUAAAGCACUUUCAGCGAGGAGGAAGGCGUUGUAGUUAAUAGCUGCAGCGAUUGACGUUACUCGCAGAAGAAGCACCGGCUAACUCCGUGCCAGCAGCCGCGGUAAUACGGAGGGUGCAAGCGUUAAUCGGAAUUACUGGGCGUAAAGCGCACGCAGGCGGUUUGUUAAGUCAGAUGUGAAAUCCCCGAGCUUAACUUGGGAACUGCAUUUGAAACUGGCAAGCUAGAGUCUUGUAGAGGGGGGUAGAAUUCCAGGUGUAGCGGUGAAAUGCGUAGAGAUCUGGAGGAAUACCGGUGGCGAAGGCGGCCCCCUGGACAAAGACUGACGCUCAGGUGCGAAAGCGUGGGGAGCAAAC